AGUGAACGCUGGCGGUAGGCCUAACACAUGCAAGUCGAACGGCAGCACAGUAAGAGCUUGCUCUUACGGGUGGCGAGUGGCGGACGGGUGAGGAAUACAUCGGAAUCUACUUUUUCGUGGGGGCUAACGUAGGGAAACUUACGCUAAUACCGCAUACGACCUCCGGGUGAAAGCUGGGGAUCUUCGGACCUUGCGCGAUUGAAUGAGCCGAUGUCGGAUUAGCUAGUUGGCGGGGUAAAGGCCCACCAAGGCGACGAUCCGUAGCUGGUCUGAGAGGAUGAUCAGCCACACUGGAACUGAGACACGGUCCAGACUCCUACGGGAGGCAGCAGUGGGGAAUAUUGGACAAUGGGCGCAAGCCUGAUCCAGCCAUACCGCGUGGGUGAAGAAGGCCUUCGGGUUGUAAAGCCCUUUUGUUGGGAAAGAAAAGCAGCAGGUUAAUACCCCGCUGUUCUGACGGUACCCAAAGAAUAAGCACCGGCUAACUUCGUG
This 492-nucleotide ribosomal RNA is filed under the name uncultured bacterium. RNAcentral describes it as "partial 16S ribosomal RNA". It matches the Rfam family "Bacterial small subunit ribosomal RNA", at positions 29 to 507 of the family's 1533-position model. The record is from RNAcentral.